This 440-nucleotide ribosomal RNA is filed under the name uncultured bacterium. RNAcentral describes it as "bacterial SSU rRNA". It matches the Rfam family "Bacterial small subunit ribosomal RNA", at positions 338 to 795 of the family's 1533-position model. The record is from RNAcentral.
CCUACGGGAGGCAGCAGUGGGGAAUAUUGGACAAUGGGGGCAACCCUGAUCCAGCAAUGCCGCGUGAGUGAUGAAGGCCUUAGGGUUGUAAAGCUCUUUCGGCGGGGACGAUGAUGACGGUACCCGCAGAAGAAGCCCCGGCUAACUUCGUGCCAGCAGCCGCGGUAAUACGAAGGGGGCGAGCGUUGUUCGGAAUAACUGGGCGUAAAGGGCGCGCAGGCGGCCCCUCAAGUCAGAUGUGAAAGCCCCGGGCUCAACCUGGGAACUGCAUUUGAGACUGAGGGGCUCGAGGACGGGAGAGGAGAGUGGAAUUCCCAGUGUAGAGGUGAAAUUCGUAGAUAUUGGGAAGAACACCAAUGGCGAAGGCAGCUCUCUGGACCGUUACUGACGCUGAGGCGCGAAAGCGUGGGGAGCAAACAGGAUUAGAUACCCCAGUAGUC